UCCCCCCGCCACGUCCUUGCGAAGCCCUUGUAGGGCCGUGAUGCAGAGCCCUGCAACGCCCCCCCCCCCCAAAAAAAAAAUCCACUCCCCACUAUUGCAGAGGUGUGGGGGCUUCCCUGGGGGAGGGGGGCGUGGGGGCGGCUGUGGGAGGCUCCGCUCGGGGAAAGGAUGUGGGGGUGGCCGCGGGGGUGCAAGGAGGUGUCCUCCCCCACCCUGCGUGGCUGGGGGUGCUUGGCCCUCCCUGCUCCGGGGCUGGGGCGCUCCGUCUGGCUUUCCCACGCGGGAAUAAUUAGCCCUGAAUAAUUAAUUCAUCGCCGGGAGAGCCGGGAAGGGCUGGCCCGGCGCGGGGUUGCGGGAAGGGCGGCUGGCAGGGAGGAGGAGGAGGAGGAAGAUGAGGAAGAGGAGGAGGAGAUGCACCCCCGGGACCCUUCCAGGACACCCCAUGAGUGGGGUUGCCCCCACGGGGGGGCUCGGGCGAGACCUUACAGGGGCACGGGGCGGGGGGGGGGGGGGGCGCAGGGCACCGGGAUCGGCUGCAAGCAUCCCAUAGGAGCGCAGCGCCCCGGGGGGGGUGUGUGGGGGGGGAGACCCCGACGGUCAGGGGGAGAUGGGGGGGCUCGGCCCUGCGGGUGCUGAACCCCGGGGGGGGGAUGUUGGGCUCCCCCCGGUGCCGCGACCCCAGAGGGAUCCCACCACCACCACAUCUGGCGUGUGCAGUGUACAUAGGGCAUAUGCAGUGUGCAGUGGUGUGGGGUGUGCAGCGUGUGUGCAGUGUGUGUGUGCAGUGCUUGCAGUGCGUGUGAGCAGUGUGCAGUGUGUGUGUGUGAAGCGUGUAUGUGCAGUGCAUGCAGUGCACGUGUGGUGUGCAGUGUGUGUGCAGUGUGUGUGCAGUGUGUGUGUGUGCAGUGUGUGUAUGCAGUGCAUGCAGUGUGCGUGCAGUGUGUGUGCAGUGUGUGUGUGCAGUGUGUACACAGCAUGUGCAGUGUGUACGCAGCGUAUGCAGGGUGUGCAGCAUGUAGGGGGUGUGUGCUGUGCACGGGGUGUGCAGCGUGCAGUGUGCACACAGCAUGCAGUGAGUGCAGCGUCUGGGGUGUGCAGUGUUUGCUCACCAUGCAGUGUGCACACAGACAGCUGUGCAAGCAGGGUGCGCAGGGUGCAGCGUGUGAGCAGUGUGCGGGCAGUGUCUGCAGUGUGUGCAGUGCGUGUGCAGUGCAUGGUGUGUGUGUGUGUGUGCACAGUGUACGUGCAACGUGUGCGUUGUGUGUGCAGUGCGAGCAGUGGGAGCAGCAGGAGCAGCACAACCUGCAGCCCUGCGGGGGGGGGGGGGGGGCACCGCCGUGGCUUUCCCGCGGGCGGGGGGGGGCAGCGGGGGGGCGGGCCCCCCCCCUGCAAGGGCCGGGCCCCCCGGGGCGGGGCGGGGCGAGGCGAGGCCGCCCCCUGCCCGCCCCCGCCGCCGGGGCCACCGCCUCCCGCGGGCGCGCAUGUGCCCGUGGCACGGCUCCGCACCGCUCUCCCGGGAGCUCCGCAGCUGGCACCUCCUGCCGUGCCGAGCCGUGCCGAGCCGGGCUGAGUCGUGCCUGGCCGUGCCGAGCCGUGCCGAGCCGUGCCGGGCCGUGCCAUGGCCCCGCCGUGCGCCGGGGCGCUGCGCUGCGCGCUCCUUUGCGCGUUCCUUUGCGCGCUGCUGUGCGCGCAGGGCCCCGCUGCCACCCGCGCAGGGGAGUGCGGCGAGCUGCGAUCCUGCCAGACAUGCACCGCCGGCACCGCCUCGCCCAACGGCUCCGCCUGCGUCUGGGUGGGCUGCGGGGCACCCCAAGAGCCAGAGACCUGGAGCUGCGUGCAGAGAGGGGCGGCAACACGGGGGACGUGCGUGCUCUACAACACCACCGCCCUGUGCCCAGCAGCGCUGAAAUCCCCCACCAAAGAGCCCCCACAGCCCCCUAGCAAGGAGCCGGUGACGCAUUCGCCACGUGAGUGGGGUUGGGGGGCCUGGGGGGGGGGGCAAUUAUGGGAUGGGACCGGCCUCUUCCCUCUGCGUCCCCUGGGGAGGGGUGAGCGCUGCCCCCCUUUUGGGGUUGCACUGAUGGAGGUUACACCGUGGCUGUGCCCACGGGGUGCCAGCCCUGUCCCCAUGGUCACAGCUCGGUCCCCGGCCCCCCUUUUUUUUCCCCUUUUUGCCUUGCCGGGGGGGGGCACGGGGAGGACAGCAGCAGGUGAAGGGGCUGGGAGCGGAGGAGCCUCUUCCAGGAAACGGGAUCUGGAGGGCACGGGGCUCGCUGCGGCCGUAACCGGAGCCGCUGCCCUCUGAAUUAUUGAUGCCAGCGGGCUGCUGCGGCACG
RNAcentral lists this long non-coding RNA (2336 nucleotides) under Anas platyrhynchos platyrhynchos (common mallard). Its description in RNAcentral is "lncRNA (ENSAPLG00000019984.1)". Lineage: Eukaryota; Metazoa; Chordata; Aves; Anseriformes; Anatidae. The record is from RNAcentral.